This 253-nucleotide ribosomal RNA is filed under the name uncultured bacterium. RNAcentral describes it as "partial 16S ribosomal RNA". It matches the Rfam family "Bacterial small subunit ribosomal RNA", at positions 524 to 776 of the family's 1533-position model. The record is from RNAcentral.
UACAGAGGGGGCAAGCGUUGUUCGGAAUUACUGGGCGUAAAGGGCGCGUAGGCGGCCUUCUAAGUCGAACGUGAAAUCCCCGGGCUCAACCCGGGAACUGCGUCCGAUACUGGAAGGCUUGAAUCCGGGAGAGGGAUGCGGAAUUCCAGGUGUAGCGGUGAAAUGCGUAGAUAUCUGGAGGAAUACCGGUGGCGAAGGCGGCAUCCUGGACCGACAUUGACGCUGAGGAGCGAAAGCUAGGGGAGCAAACGGG